This 374-nucleotide ribosomal RNA is filed under the name uncultured eukaryote. RNAcentral's name for it is "partial 18S ribosomal RNA". It matches the Rfam family "Eukaryotic small subunit ribosomal RNA", at positions 592 to 976 of the family's 1831-position model. The record is from RNAcentral.
CAAGAGCGUAUGUAAAAGUUGUUGCAGUUAAAAAGCUCGUAGUUGAACCUUGGGUUUGGUUGGCCGGUCCGCUUUUUUGCGAGUACUGGAUUCAACCGAGCCUUUCCUUCUGGCUAACCAGUCGUUUCGGCGGCUGGCGAACCAGGAUUUUUACUUUGAGAAAAUUAGAGUGUUCAAAGCAGGCAUUAGCUUGAAUAUAUUAGCAUGGAAUAAUAGAAUAGGACGUUAUGGUUCUAUUUUGUUGGUUUCUAGGACCAUCGUAAUGAUUAAUAGGGACGGUCGGGGGCAUCAGUAUUCAGCUGUCAGAGGUGAAAUUCUUGGAUUUACUGAAGACUAACUACUGCGAAAGCAUUUGCCAAGGACGUUUUCAUUAA